UAAGAAGAAGAAAGAAAAACAAAUAAAAACAGCAUAGAAUUUUUCGUUCGAUUUCUACUAUCAAAAGUAGAUCAUUUUCGGAAAUAUGCAGACGUGCAUCCCACCGGAAAACUGUGUAACCAACCCGAAAACCGUGAAACCAACCGGAAAACCGCUGGUGCCGUCUUAUGGGGUGUCACAGCUGUGGUUGGGCACCGGAAGAUGGUUUAUGUACCGGAAGAUGGUUCCUUUGUCGAUCAAAAUACCCGGAGGAAACAUCGAAUUAGGUGUGGGAGCUGCUGCAUAGGUGUGAAGAUGGAAACCGAAAUUUUCCACCUACACACAAUCCCCCAAAGAGAAUCUGCUACUGAUUUCUACGAGGUAAUCCGAAUUACAUUGUGUGUCAAUAAGUGAGCCAUAUGAAUUGAUUGCCAAUAAAUAGUGAAUCAAA
Molecule: long non-coding RNA, 430 nt
Organism: Uranotaenia lowii
Lineage: Eukaryota; Metazoa; Arthropoda; Insecta; Diptera; Culicidae
Exons: 2
Source: RefSeq, a predicted model, not a curated record